RNAcentral lists this ribosomal RNA (478 nucleotides) under uncultured bacterium. Its description in RNAcentral is "partial 16S ribosomal RNA". It matches the Rfam family "Bacterial small subunit ribosomal RNA", at positions 28 to 523 of the family's 1533-position model. The record is from RNAcentral.
GACGAACGCUGGCGGCAUGCCUAACACAUGCAAGUCGAGCGAGUUGAUCCCUUCGGGGUGAAGCUAGCGGCGGACGGAUGAGUAACACGUGGGCAACCUGCCUCAUAGAGGGGAAUAGCCUUUCGAAAGGAAGAUUAAUACCGCAUAAGAUUGUAGCGUCGCAUGAAGCAGCAAUUAAAGGAGCAAUCCGCUAUGAGAUGGGCCCGCGGCGCAUUAGCUAGUUGGUGAGGUAACGGCUCACCAAGGCGACGAUGCGUAGCCGACCUGAGAGGGUGAUCGGCCACAUUGGGACUGAGACACGGCCCAGACUCCUACGGGAGGCAGCAGUGGGGAAUAUUGCACAAUGGGGGAAACCCUGAUGCAGCAAUGCCACGUGAGUGAUGACGGCCUUCGGGUUGUAAAGCUCUGUCUUCGGGGACGAUAAUGACGGUACCCGAGGAGGAAGCCACGGCUAACUACGUGCCAGCCGCCGCGGUAA